RNAcentral lists this ribosomal RNA (546 nucleotides) under uncultured bacterium. Its description in RNAcentral is "bacterial SSU rRNA". It matches the Rfam family "Bacterial small subunit ribosomal RNA", at positions 777 to 1319 of the family's 1533-position model. The record is from RNAcentral.
AAUAGAUACCCGGGUAGUCCAUGCCGUAAACGUUGGGCACUAGGUGUGGGGGACAUUCCACGUUUUCCGCGCCGUAGCUAACGCAUUAAGUGCCCCGCCUGGGGAGUACGGCCGCAAGGCUAAAACUCAAAGGAAUUGACGGGGGCCCGCACAAGCGGCGGAGCAUGCGGAUUAAUUCGAUGCAACGCGAAGAACCUUACCAAGGCUUGACAUGGACCGGAUCGCCGCAGAAAUGUGGUUUCUCCUUUUGGGGCCGGUUCACAGGUGGUGCAUGGUUGUCGUCAGCUCGUGUCGUGAGAUGUUGGGUUAAGUCCCGCAACGAGCGCAACCCUCGUUCCAUGUUGCCAGCGCGUAAUGGCGGGGACUCAUGGGAGACUGCCGGGGUCAACUCGGAGGAAGGUGGGGACGACGUCAAAUCAUCAUGCCCCUUAUGUCUUGGGCUUCACGCAUGCUACAAUGGCCGGUACAAAGGGUUGCGAUACUGUGAGGUGGAGCUAAUCCCAAAAAGCCGGUCUCAGUUCGGAUUGGGGUCUGCAACUCGCCUAC